Molecule: ribosomal RNA, 327 nt
Filed under: Cercomonas sp.
Lineage: Eukaryota; Cercozoa; Cercomonadida; Cercomonadidae
Description: SSU rRNA
Rfam family: Eukaryotic small subunit ribosomal RNA (bases 66-327)
Source: RNAcentral
GAUUUCUGGUUCGGCGCACUUGGCCCGUCUCGGUUUACGAGAUUGUGUGCCGGUGUGCGCCAUCCAUCCUUCGAUGAAUCCCUGUUCUACCCUUCAUUGGGUUGGAGCAGAAGGUUCUCGAUCUUUUACUUUGAAAAAAUUAGAGUGUUUAAAGCAGGCUUGCGCUAUGAAUACAUUAGCAUGGAAUAAUAAUUUAGGACUUUGGUCUUAUUUUGUUGGUUUCUAGGACUAAAGUAAUGAUUGAUAGGGACAGUUGGGGGUGCUAGUAUUCAGCGGCCAGAGGUGAAAUUCUUGGAUUCGCUGAAGACUAACUUAUGCGAAAGCAUU